Molecule: non-coding RNA, 130 nt
Organism: Podarcis lilfordi (Lilford's wall lizard)
Lineage: Eukaryota; Metazoa; Chordata; Lepidosauria; Squamata; Lacertidae
Source: the annotation of a GenBank genome assembly
ACUGCAAAAUGUAGUGUGUGUGUGUGUGUGUGUGUGUGUGUGUGUAAAUUAGAGUGAGGCAAACACCGCUGUAUGUGUGUGCAUGUAUACACACACACACACACACACACACACACUGUAAUUAAGAAGA